RNAcentral lists this transfer RNA (70 nucleotides) under Athalia icar. Its description in RNAcentral is "tRNA-Ile". The record is from RNAcentral. Lineage: Eukaryota; Metazoa; Arthropoda; Insecta; Hymenoptera; Athaliidae.
AAUGAAAUGUCUGAAUAAAGAGUUAUUCUGAUAGAAUAAAAUAUGUAUAAUUUAUAAAAUACUUUCAUUA